UCAGUCAGUCAGUUUGUCAGUGUGUAAGCUGCGGGGCCAGCAAUUAACUAUGCAAUACGCUGACGUCACCAGCGACUGCAACUCCAACUCCAAUUCGCCAGCUCGAAAAUGCCGCAUCAUGUUGCCGGCUGAAUGACGCCUUUGAUUUGUUUUGCAAGUGUGUUGUUGCUAUAUCCGCUACAAAGGCAUUUGCAUUUCAAAUGAAUUACAACGCCCCGGAGGAAUAUCAAACCAACAAAAAAAAAACAAACCAAAAACAAAAAGGAAACCAAAAAAAGUAUUGUGUACAGGUCCUGCGCCUGCUGAAAUAUAAAUGUUAAUCCAGGCAGCGUCAAUUGCAAAACGUUCAGAGCGCUGUUGACAGCAUCAGCCCAGGACAACACCACCAGGGACACACAAUCCGAUGAGCGCACCAUUGGCCAGGGCCUGGGCAGUGUGUCAACGGCUUUUUAAUUGAUUUUCAUGGGCUGCAGUUUUU
Molecule: non-coding RNA, 478 nt
Organism: Drosophila virilis
Lineage: Eukaryota; Metazoa; Arthropoda; Insecta; Diptera; Drosophilidae
Source: RefSeq, a predicted model, not a curated record